Regulatory RNA element from Terribacillus aidingensis, 121 nucleotides. It matches the Rfam family "Ribosomal protein L20 leader". Rfam says of the family: This family is a putative r-protein leader autoregulatory structure found in B. subtilis and other low-GC Gram-positive bacteria. It is located in the 5' untranslated regions of mRNAs encoding initiation factor 3 followed by ribosomal proteins L35 and L20 (infC-rpmI-rplT). The record is from Rfam. Lineage: Bacteria; Bacillati; Bacillota; Bacilli; Caryophanales; Bacillaceae.
UGAGACAAGCAGAAGUACCCACUUCUCACCUGAUUGACGCCGCUUGGCAGUUGGCAGGUACGAAAACAGUGUUCUAGGACAAAUGUGGGUGCCGUAUGCGUACCGGCAUUUUUUUUAUGCU